AAGUUUUAUUUUGAAAUGUUUUGAGAAAGGUUUUAAGUACUCUUUGAACUCUGAACUUUUGCAAGACUAAAACAAUUUUGAACAGUUGAAACGCUUUAGAAUUUAUCAUGGGGGUUGAAGCUGGUUUUGCCUAAGUAAAGGAAACGGCUUUGAAAGAAGUAAAUGAUUACGUGACUCGGUUUGGCUUAGAUCCUAUUUUAUUACUCAAAUCGGAAAGCCAAGGUUUUAAUGAUUUUAAAUGAAUUCGGAGAAAUGAGUUAUGCUAUUCUCCCCUAAAGACUUGGGACUCUGUCGAGAAACUUUGUUAUAAAAUCCCAUUGUGGGAUGGGUGAUUUUGAAUGUUCCCAAAAUGAAUCUUUAACUUUCCAUGGUUUUGGAAGUUUUGGAAAGAGAAUGCCAAGAGUGGCUUUGUUUUAAAAAGGGAACUCACUUUGAGUAAAUUUGGCUUAUGAGCCUGAGAUGAUUUGAGAAAUGAGAUCUUUAAAGCCAAGGCUAAAAAGAGUUGAAAUUUGAUUUCAAAGUGAAAUGGCUUGAGAAAAGUGAUUUAUGGCUUAAAUGCCGGUUUUAUGAAUUUGAUGAUGUUGAAUGGUGGAAGUGUUGCUUUGUUGUGAGCCG
RNAcentral lists this long non-coding RNA (615 nucleotides) under Arachis ipaensis. RNAcentral's name for it is "long non-coding RNA (AIPA_LNC001951)". Lineage: Eukaryota; Viridiplantae; Streptophyta; Magnoliopsida; Fabales; Fabaceae. The record is from RNAcentral.